AAACUUAAAUGAAUUGACGGGACCGCACAGCGGUGGAUGAUGUGGAUUAAUUCGAUGCAACGCGAAAAACCUUACCUACCCUUGACAUGUCUGGAACCUUGGUGAGAGCCGAGGUGCCUUCGGGAGCCAGAACACAGGUGCUGCAUGGCUGUCGUCAGCUCGUGUCGUGAGAUGUUGGGUUAAGUCCCGCAACGAGCGCAACCCUUGUCAUUAGUUGCUACAUUUGGUUGGGCACUCUAAUGAGACUGCCGGUGACAAGCCGGAGGAAGUGGGGAUGACGUCAAGUCCUCAUGGCCCUUAUAGGUGGGGCUACACACGUCAUACAAUGGCUGGUACAAAGGGUUGCCAACCCGCGAGGGGGAGCUAAUCCCACAAAGCCAGUCGUAGUCCGGAUCGUAGUCUGCAACUCGACUACGUGAAGUCGGAAUCGCUAGUAAUCGUGGAUCAGAAUGUCACGGUGAAUACGUUCCCGGGUCUU
Molecule: ribosomal RNA, 478 nt
Filed under: uncultured Rhodoferax sp.
Lineage: Bacteria; Pseudomonadati; Pseudomonadota; Betaproteobacteria; Burkholderiales; Comamonadaceae
Description: bacterial SSU rRNA
Rfam family: Bacterial small subunit ribosomal RNA
Source: RNAcentral